CAGCUCUUUCAUUUCCUGGAGUGAGCCACUGGGUGGCUCCUCUCUUUCCUGGGCUGGGCCACUGGAUGGCCCUGCCGCCGCCGCCUGCGCUCC
This 93-nucleotide microRNA precursor is filed under the name Marmota monax (woodchuck). The record is from RNAcentral. Lineage: Eukaryota; Metazoa; Chordata; Mammalia; Rodentia; Sciuridae.